AGCUCCUCCCUUCUGGAGUAUUUGGCCAUUCCAGCACCCGCUUUAUCUCCAGUGAUCUCUGACCCCUGCAUGUCAGGAGUUCAAUCUGACACCAGAGCUCCUGGCUGCCUACUGACUCCUCAACUUCAUUUAAGGGAAGUGAGCAAGGGAACCGAUGAAAAUCAAGAUGCCUGAGGAUUUAGGAUAGGAAGAUCAGCAGCAUGUCUUGUGGAGGAAAUGGACUGUUUGUGUCAAUCCUUUUCAGGAUGCUUUGGGGUGCAAUGUCUUGGUCACCCUUUAAACAGGGGGAUCUGGUUAAAAAUUGCUUUGUCUGCACAGAAGAGCCCUGGAGAUAUUGUAGAAGAGGCACCUGAUUUCUCUCC
Molecule: long non-coding RNA, 362 nt
Organism: Lagopus leucura (white-tailed ptarmigan)
Lineage: Eukaryota; Metazoa; Chordata; Aves; Galliformes; Phasianidae
Exons: 3
Source: RefSeq, a predicted model, not a curated record